CCUACGGGGGGCUGCAGUGGGGAAUAUUGGACAAUGGGGGCAACCCUGAUCCAGCCAUGCCGCGUGUGUGAAGAAGGCCCUCGGGGUGUAAAGCACUUUCAGUGAGGAAGAACGCCUGGUGGUUAAUACCCAUCAGGAAAGACAUCACUCACAGAAGAAGCACCGGCUAACUCCGUGCCAGCAGCCGCGGUAAUACGGAGGGUGCGAGCGUUAAUCGGAAUUACUGGGCGUAAAGCGCGCGUAGGUGGCUUGAUAAGCCGGUUGUGAAAGCCCCGGGCUCAACCUGGGAACGGCAUCCGGAACUGUCAAGCUAGAGUGCAGGAGAGGAAGGUAGAAUUCCCGGUGUAGCGGUGAAAUGCGUAGAGAUCGGGAGGAAUACCAGUGGCGAAGGCGGCCUUCUGGACUGACACUGACACUGAGGUGCGAAAGCGUGGGUAGCAAACAGGAUUAGAUACCCCUGUAGUC
RNAcentral lists this ribosomal RNA (465 nucleotides) under Vreelandella stevensii. RNAcentral describes it as "partial 16S ribosomal RNA". It matches the Rfam family "Bacterial small subunit ribosomal RNA", at positions 338 to 795 of the family's 1533-position model. The record is from RNAcentral. Lineage: Bacteria; Pseudomonadati; Pseudomonadota; Gammaproteobacteria; Oceanospirillales; Halomonadaceae.